UCCCUCCUUCCCUACCUGCCUUCCUCCCUUCACCUUCUUUUUACAACACAAGAUACCUUUGGAUGUAAAUUUUAUUAUUAAUUUAAAAAAGAAAACUGACAAGCAAAUCAGAUGGAACCAAUCACAUUUGUUUUCUCCUUACUCUCCGGGGCUUAUUUAUCUCUUGGGUGAUACCAGGUGGGGAAGCCUCAGUCUCUCAGCCUAAGGCAGGGAGAGGCACAAGUCAGAUCUGCAUCUUGAUGCAUAAGUCCCAACUAUGAGGCAAUCCCACGGAUUGGUAUGGGUCUCCUUGCUUUGUGAUUGGCUGAUUAACUCAUGCUUAAGGGCAGCAUUGUUGUUGCUGGUAUUGAAACUAGUCCAUUUACAAAGCAUCCUGCUACAGGGCAGAGAUUUGACAAUUUGAUCUGGCUGCUUCGGCAAAAAUCUAUGUUGAAGAGAGCAUGAUGGUUCCAGAGGUCAUUUGUUGUUGUUGAAAAUUUGUGUUUUUUUACUUAAAAAAUUUUUUUUUUAGUAAUCUCCAUGCCCAACAUGGGCUCGAACCCACAACCCUGAGAUCAAGAUCAAUGUGCUCUACUGAUUAAGCCAGCCAAGUGCCCCAGGAUCAUAGAUUUUUUAAACUCUGGCUGGGGUGGUCCCAGUCAGGGCUCUCUACAGAUACAUGACAUCACAGAGUCCACAUGGCAUCACAGUCCACAUGGCAUCACAGAGCAGUGCUGGUCUCUGCAUGGGAUAGCAUGAAUUGAACCCUGACAUCCUUAGAACAUGAGUCAUGUUCAUGUAGAAACUUCUUAGGGAAAUACUGUUUCUAAUAUAUUAUCUUGCAACAAGGACCAAUUCAAGAGAGAACUUUUUGGAAGGAUAUGUCAGUAUUUUUGAGAAUCACUGGGAAUGGCCAGCACAGCUAUCCAGCCCAAGAAGUUGUCUAGAAAAUGAAGAAGAAGAAGAAGGAGGAGGAGAAGCAAGAGAAGGAGGAGGAGGAGGAGGAGGAGGAGGAGGAGAAGAGAAAAGAAAAUGAAGAAGAAAUAUAAGAAGAAAGGGAUUAAGAAAGAGAAAAGGAGGAGAGAAAGGUGUAUAAUAAGAAAAAAUAUUUAUAAUAUGGAAAUGAUUUUUCAUUUCUGAGUUAGUGGGAUUCUUUACUGACUUCAUUAGAUGUCCCGAACUCUGUGUUAGGGGCUAAAACCAGGAGAGGAGUGGAAUGUAUUAUGGGAAGAGCUCUCUUAUUUUUCUUAUACAAUUCUUUUUCCAAAUUUACAUUUUGAUCUUGGUAAGAUGCCUUUAUCCAAGCUCUGAAGGCACUAUGGCCAUCAGACAUCAAUAAAAUGUCCCAAGAUUCUACAGGCCAGGUCAGUCUCACCCACUUCCCUUCUUUUUAAUUCUACUCCAGCCCACCAAAGGGCCACAUUACAUAGAGGCUUAAUACUUAGAAAAAAUAGAGCAAGGGAGGGCCAUUUGCAAAGAGGAACCCAUGCUACUUUUUAUUUUUAGUAAUACCCCAUUUUUUCUUCACACAAACAUUCUCCAUCUCAUCACCUCCUGAUGCUGGAAACUCGAGGCUGUGAUUUUUUUGCUGUUCAUAAAUCUGCAGAAGUUUAAAGCCUUGGAGCGUGAAUCUGAUGUGGACCUUCCUCCACCUUCUCUUCCUGGAGCAAACUCUUCACCCCAGGCCUGCUCUCCUCUACAAAACAUACAGACAACACCAGGUCCUGGGUCCCUGGAGGACACCACCGAUACUGUGAGGUGAUGGUGAGGUGAUGGUGGCUGAUGCACAGGGGUAAAUGCGAGACGAUCAACACCUUCGUUCAUGAGGAUGUGGCCACGUUGGCAUAUUUCUGCAGAAUUCCACCUCUGCCCUCUACCAACAGCUGCUGUGUGCACAACAGUCACAAAGGUACUCACGAUGUCAGUGUGCUUUGCCGCAUAGGAACCAGACCCCUGCACUGCUAUUACCACCUUAGGCCCAUCCUUGUAGGCUGUGAGGACGGGGCACCUGUUCACCUGGAUGGCUAGAUGACUCCUGCACCUCACACAGGAAGCUAAGUGACUUGCACCCCACACCUCCAAACGUUUGAGGCCCUGGCCAAAGACUUGCCUGUAAUGCUUCUCCCCUCGUAUAGGGAUCUCUCAUUGUAACAAUUCAUGUGCACUUCCUGCAUCUCUCUCCCAGCCUCUGCCCCCAAAUCACCACUCCACUGGACAUGCUGGCCACGGUGUCAAUUUUUUUUGGUGUAAGACAAAAUGGGGAUGGAGGAGUUGGGGAGAGCCUGGGUAAUGGGCAUCUACUGUGGAAAAGCCUUGCUCUCACUGAGUGGCUACACAGGCCCGGCUGGCCGGGCAGAUUUGCCCACAAGGUGCUCUGGUAACAACUCGCAGUGGCACUGUCCCUAGGCAGCCCUGAGUGGUCUGGCUCAUAGGGUCUUUCUUCCCCACCUUCAGCUCCCUUCUCCCCAGCGGGCUCCUGUGGAGGGGAUUAGGGACAACAUCCAACGGGGGAAGCCCGCUGCCUUUCCAGAAACAAAGCCCUGAAGCUGGGAAACAGCACUGGAAGGAGCCGCUACCUGGAGGAGAGAAGUGGUGAAGCAGGGACUCUGGCAGGUGCUCGCGGCCACCUCAUUGGCCCGCAGGGGGCGCUGCGCCACCUGAAUCCGUUGGCCAAGCAGAGACCAGAAAUUUUUCCUGGGUUGAUGGGUUGGAAGUUUUGUGGUUACCAACACACGGCUGGGGGAUAACAGGUGAAGAAGCAGAAAAUUCAGCCGAUAUGAUUACAGUCUAACUUUCAAAGAACAGAUUUCUGAAUUUUAUCGUAACUUUCAUGCUCUCAUGCUCUUUAGUAUUGAAUUUACCACCUUCAGAUUUACAUUCCAGCACUGUAGAUAUGAAGGAAAGAAAAGAUUAAGUACAGAGCAGCUACUUAUGCUAUAAGCUUUACAGUUUCACUGUACUGGAAAAGAGUUUGUUUCAUUUUUUUUUUUUUUUAAUUUUUAGUGUUCAUUUAUUUUUGACAGAGAGACAGAGAGCAAGUAGGAGAGGGGCAGAGAGAGAGGGAGACACAGAAUCCGAAGCAGGCUUCAGGCUCUAAGCUGUCAGCCCCCCCCAAAGGGGGGCUGGAACCCACAAAUCAUGACCUGACCCCUUCAGGGUCAUGACCUGACACGAAGUCAGAUGCCCAACAAACCGAGUCACCCAGGCGCCCCAGUUUGUUUAAUCUUGUAAUCCAUUGUAUACACACUUCAUUUCUUUUCUUUGUUUUUCUUUUUUUUAAAGUGCGCACCAUGCCCAAAGACCCCUGAGAUCAAGAGUUGCAUGCUUUAUCCUUGGAGCCACCCAGAUGCCCCUACACAAUCCAUUUCUGAAGGCAGUUUUUCUACCCACAAGAGGGAGAAUCUGUAGGUGACUUUCUUCUCUACCCUGUGACUCCACCAAAAUCAUGUCAAGGCUUUAAAUCAAAGGAAGGCACCUGACUCUAGGGCAGCCAUCCACGGACUGACAGGCUGGGUGCCCAUGAAAGAAACUGGUCUGGAGAUUUUACUGUCCUGGAAUAAGGCUGACAAAACUGGAUGCUCUUAUUUUCAUUUCCCCCCAUAAUUCCAGGAGCUGUGACUGUAUUGUCUUCGUUUGUGACCUUUAGCAUGUAGCCUAUUGCUUGUUAUAAGAGAGCUUUCAAUAAAUCUUUAAUGGGCCAUUGUAAUAGGUCCUGCUGGUGCUAAGGAUUUUUUACUGAUUCUGUUUUCAGAAUGGGAAAGUUCCCUUCCCUUCUGCUCUCCGUUUCCACCUGUAAAUGGAUUGUGAAUUUUGUUGAAUAAUUUUUCUUCAUCUGAUGACACAGUCAUAUACUAUUUCCGUCCUAAUCAGUUAAUGGAGUGGAAUUGAAUAAAAUUUCUGGACAUAAGCAACUCCAUUUUGAAGCUCUAUUUUCCUUGUCAACUAAUGAACUCUUGGACUGGGCCAGAAGCCACAAUGGUUUUACAAGCGGUUCCUCAUAAAAUUUCAAAUGAGCAACUGGCAUUAGGAUCAUGUGAGGACAGGAAAGUUAAUUAAUACAUACCAGUGACCGUUUCAUUUGAUAGCACCAAUAAAGUAAUCAGUAAGAUAGUAAUCAGAAGCGGUUCAAUCAAUUAGCACCAAAUUACCUGUUUUUUUUCUUCCUUCUCUUAUCUAAAGCAUGUAAUUACCCCUUCCUUCUUUCUCCUAAAAAACCCCCAGCUUUCCCCACCUGAGGGGGCACUUUUCUGGUUACCCUUAAAUCUAGUCCCACAUUGUAACUCUGAGACCCCAAAUAAAAGCCUUUGCUCUUCUU
This is a long non-coding RNA of Felis catus (domestic cat), 4294 nucleotides long. RefSeq lists it as uncharacterized. Lineage: Eukaryota; Metazoa; Chordata; Mammalia; Carnivora; Felidae. The transcript is spliced from 3 exons. The record is from RefSeq and is a predicted model, not a curated record.